Molecule: ribosomal RNA, 36 nt
Filed under: Prospero obtusifolium
Lineage: Eukaryota; Viridiplantae; Streptophyta; Magnoliopsida; Asparagales; Asparagaceae
Source: RNAcentral
GGGUGCGAUCAUACCAGCGCUAAAACACCGAAUUCC